GCACAAGCAGCGGAGCGUGUGGUUUAAUUCGUUGCUACACGAAGAACCUUACCUGGGUUUGACAUAUAGGUUGUAGGGAACUGAAAAGGGACCGACCUUCGGGAGCCUAUACAGGUGUUGCAUGGCUGUCGUCAGCUCGUGUCGUGAGAUGUUCGGUUAAGUCCGCUAACGAGCGCAACCCUCGUCGUAUGUUAUAUGUGUCAUACGAGACUGCCGGUAAAAGCCGGAGGAAGGUGAGGAUGAUGUCAAGUCAGCAUGACCUUUAUAUCCAGGGCUACACACACGCUACAAUGGUCUGUACAAUGGGUAGCCAAGCCGCGAGGCGGAGCCAAUCCUGAAAGCAGGCCUCAGUUCAGAUUGCAGUCUGCAACCCGACUGCAUGAAGCCGGAGUUGCUAGUAACCGCAGGUCAGCAAUACUGCGGUGAAUACGUUCCCGGGUCUU
This 443-nucleotide ribosomal RNA is filed under the name uncultured Anaerolineaceae bacterium. RNAcentral describes it as "bacterial SSU rRNA". It matches the Rfam family "Bacterial small subunit ribosomal RNA", at positions 923 to 1382 of the family's 1533-position model. The record is from RNAcentral. Lineage: Bacteria; Bacillati; Chloroflexota; Anaerolineae; Anaerolineales; Anaerolineaceae.